CUCCCUUUGCUGUCCCCAAUCCCAGUCCCCUCCCCAUUUACAUACUUUUUUUUUUUUUUAAGAUUUAUUUAUUUUAUUGUAGGUGGGCUCGAUCCUAGGACCCUGACCUCAUGACCGGAGCAGAAAUCCAGGCAUCCGCUUAACUCACUGAACCACCCAGGCGCCUCCCCUCCAUCUACACACUCGUACAAUAGGGACGUUUUGUCCCCGAGCCAAGUUUGGGAGGACUGAAGCAGGGAGGAGUCCAAAGCUCACAGACCACUGUGACCAUCCUGGUUUGGGGGGGCUCGAGGAAGGCUCUGCAAAUCAUCCACUUGUCUAUAAGCGGGGCGAGUGGCCCUGACGUCUUUCUGCUCCAUUGACCUGAGAUUUCUCUCCGCCCUUAUGAGGAGCAUCAACAGCUGUGGAGAUCGACUAGCAUCCAGGAUCAAGAAAAGGCUGCAAGAUUUAGAACCUAAGAAGGAGAAUGAGAUAGCAAGUGCAACAAGGAAUGUCCAGAAGAGAACAACAACGGUUCCCCGCGUAUUCUAAAGCAGUGGUUCCUCAAGGCUUCACACACAUCAGGGGCUCCUUUAGGGCUUGUUAAAACUCCAGAGUGCUGGGCCCACCCCUGGAGUUUCUGAUUCAGUUGAUGUCUGGUGGGAUUGAUAAUUUGCAUUUCUAGCAAGUUCCCAGGGGCUGCUGAUGCUACAGGUCCAGAGGGGCCCCCUUUGAGAAUGACUUCACUGAAGAGAUUGGGAAGAGACGCCAAAGGGUGACGGGAGUGGUGAAGAGCUCACCUAGCAGUUCUGUUCUUUACCGAUGUGUGCAAGUCACGUAGCGUUUCCAGGCCUGGUUCUUCGUCUAUUAAGUGGGAUUGAUAAUAAAUGAGGGGUUAAGAGUUGGUCCAUGUAAAUAACUUGGAAUAGUCUCUCGCACAAAGUAAAUGCUCUGUAAAUGUCCGCUAUCUGCGCCUCUCAAUGUGAUGGCCGAUGAAUGUAAAGCCUCUGACCCAUGUAAAG
Long non-coding RNA from Canis lupus familiaris (dog), 1001 nucleotides. RefSeq lists it as uncharacterized. The transcript is spliced from 4 exons. NCBI's taxonomy places the organism in Eukaryota, Metazoa, Chordata, Mammalia, Carnivora, Canidae. The record is from RefSeq and is a predicted model, not a curated record.